CAUGUUUUUCAGUGAAGCGGAUUUUCAGUAUGAAUUCGGUCAAACUUUCAGCUAUUGUAUUGAAAAAAUUAUUUCUGUGAAAAUUAACUGUUAUUUACGUCAAAAACCUCCUUGUUUAUAAAUUAAUAGUGUGCCUUAAAGGAAAAUGAGAAAUAUUACAGGGAAAUAACCCAAGGAUUGAACAUUCGGAAAUGAAAUAAACGAAAUUAUUCAAAAUAUAUAUUGGAUCUGACAUAUGUUUUUCCUCAGCACAGAUCGGAAUAUCAGGUUUUUCGUUGCAGUAUCACGAUGAUAGAAAUAUCACGCGAAUCUUCUGUGCACAGCCCAGUGGUGCGGGUGUUCCUGGUGUCAGGCAUGUGCUCGCUUUUGGUCGUCGUCAUUUUUGACUUACUCACAUUUUAGCUUUCCUGUACGCGUAUCGUAACAGCACGAAGGGAAUGCACAACGUGACCGCCGCGGCCGGCCAAAACUACACGACGACCGUUUAUUUCGUCACGACCGAAGAACCGAAGAAUUUAGCUUGACCACCUCCGUCUUUAGCUCGCAAUUUAUAUUGACCAUUUUGACAAACACCGGUCAUCCGCUAUAACGAGUUGUGGACAGUUUACACUUUUACGAAUCACUGGCGGACCAGCUGGCUUAACUCUGUCUACAUGAUUUUCUGUUAUCGCCAAUUCGGUUUUUAAUCGAGUAAUUUCGUUAGUAAUACAACUUUAACCGACAUCCUGUGAGUUUUUUUAAAGUCAGCUGCAAAAUGCAAAUCAUUGAAAGAAGAACGUCUCGAUCUGCCGAUGGCAUGAUUAUUUCGAAGUCUUAAUGGAUUUUAUAUCGAUUUUAUGUUGUAGUAACGUGACUGUUUUUUAUUCGCUAAAUGAGAUAUUUAACAACAUUUUUCAACUUGACGUUUGGAAUUGUUAACGUUUGUCUAUAAUAAAACACUAAAAACGCAUAUAAAUCU
Molecule: long non-coding RNA, 958 nt
Organism: Cimex lectularius (bed bug)
Lineage: Eukaryota; Metazoa; Arthropoda; Insecta; Hemiptera; Cimicidae
Exons: 3
Source: RefSeq, a predicted model, not a curated record